GCAGCCACAUGACCGGGCGGGCCGCCUCCAGGCUCCGCUCGGCUACAAAUGCAGCCUGGCGGCGGCUGGAGCCACCAACCGACCGCCUUCGCUCGCUGCCUUGGCUUGGCUGGGCGCUGCAUCUGCUGCUGGCGCGGGCAUUGCCGUGGCGGCCGCGUGGGCGCGAUGGGCGUGCGGCGCUGGUUGCUGGCGCUGCUCCUGCUGCUGUGCUUGGCGCUCGGCUUGGCCUCCAGAGGUCCAGUCUCUGAAGUAAGGGAUGGGAAGGAAC
Thamnophis elegans (Western terrestrial garter snake) is the source of this 268-nucleotide long non-coding RNA. RefSeq lists it as uncharacterized. The transcript has 2 exons. The record is from RefSeq and is a predicted model, not a curated record. NCBI's taxonomy places the organism in Eukaryota, Metazoa, Chordata, Lepidosauria, Squamata, Natricidae.